ACACGGAGAAAUAAAGAACAGAUUCCAUUCCUUUAUUAAACAGCCUUUGUUUCAACUGGGUUUCGAGCAUUACAAUCAAUCACUACUACUCUACUCUAAUUUCAAUUUCCAAAUCUUUAAAUAAUUUUCAGCCGUCUCUUCUUUGCGAAAAAAGAAAAAGAAAAAAAGAAGAGGCAAAAACAGGAGUGUUUUCAGGAGGAUUUGGUUUUGGAGGCCAUCGCUGCUGUAAUUCCUUCUCACAAAUGGCUUUAGUGAAGCGUAAAAGAGAGUCAUCACCGUCACCAUCUUCUUCUUCAACACGUCAGCCAAAAUACGAUGCAUUUCUUAGUUCUAGGGGUGAGGAUACCCAUACUAAUUUUACUGACCAUCUAUAUGUUUGCUUUGAAAUGAAAGGGGAUUAUUACUUUUAGGGAUGAAGAAGAACUCAAGAAAGGAGAACAUAUAUCUAAGCUCUUCAAAGCAAUUGAAGAAUCAAAGUUCGCUAUCAUCGUUCUCUCAAAAAAAAUAUGCAUCUUUUACGUGUUGCUAGGAUAAGCUUGCCAAGAUUAUCAAAUGUAAGGAUGAAAUGGGACUAAAAGUUUUGCCAGUUUUUUUA
This is a long non-coding RNA of Quercus robur (English oak), 595 nucleotides long. RefSeq lists it as uncharacterized. The transcript is spliced from 3 exons. Lineage: Eukaryota; Viridiplantae; Streptophyta; Magnoliopsida; Fagales; Fagaceae. The record is from RefSeq and is a predicted model, not a curated record.